UUUGUGUUGUGCUUAUGUUAUGUAUUGUUGUAGGAGGUUUGAAAUGGAGGAAAGUCUAGUUCCAAUAGCUAUCCAACCUCAAGUAGAAAUGAGUGGUUAUGUGAUGAAGAGUAAUAGAAGAUUCUUAGCCUCAUGUUUGUUUGACUAUGAGUGUUUGAGAGACUAACCUGUAUAGUAGUUCGGGUGACAUGUUGUUUCAUCACACUUGCAUAGGUCCUCCAAUAGUUCAAC
RNAcentral lists this long non-coding RNA (231 nucleotides) under Vigna radiata. RNAcentral describes it as "long non-coding RNA (VRAD_LNC005729)". Lineage: Eukaryota; Viridiplantae; Streptophyta; Magnoliopsida; Fabales; Fabaceae. The record is from RNAcentral.